UUUUCAGUAAACAAAGAGAAG
Molecule: non-coding RNA, 21 nt
Filed under: Caenorhabditis elegans
Lineage: Eukaryota; Metazoa; Nematoda; Chromadorea; Rhabditida; Rhabditidae
Source: RNAcentral